CCUACGGGGGGCAGCAGUGAGGAAUAUUGGUCAAUGGGUGGGAGCCUGAACCAGCCAAGCCGCGUGAGGGAAGAAGGUACAGCGUAUCGUAAACCUCUUUUGUCAGGGAACAAAGGCGGGGACUAGUCCCCGGAUGAGGGUACCUGAAGAAAAAGCAUCGGCUAACUCCGUGCCAGCAGCCGCGGUAAUACGGAGGAUGCGAGCGUUAUCCGGAUUUAUUGGGUUAAAAGGGUGCGCAGGCGGCCUGUUAAGUCAGCGGGAAAAGCCCGGGGCUCAACCCCGGCGAGCCGUUGAAACUGGCGGGCUGGAGUUGGAGAGAAGUACGCGGAAUGCGCGGUGUAGCGGUGAAAUGCUUAGAUAUCGCGCAGAACCCCGAUUGCGAAGGCAGCGUACCGGCUCCACACUGACGCUGAGGCACGAAAGCGUGGGUAUCGAACAGGAUUAGAUACCCGAGUAGUC
RNAcentral lists this ribosomal RNA (459 nucleotides) under uncultured bacterium. RNAcentral describes it as "partial 16S ribosomal RNA". It matches the Rfam family "Bacterial small subunit ribosomal RNA", at positions 338 to 795 of the family's 1533-position model. The record is from RNAcentral.